Alosa sapidissima (American shad) is the source of this 521-nucleotide long non-coding RNA. RefSeq lists it as uncharacterized. The record is from RefSeq and is a predicted model, not a curated record. NCBI's taxonomy places the organism in Eukaryota, Metazoa, Chordata, Actinopteri, Clupeiformes, Clupeidae. The transcript is spliced from 2 exons.
CAGUGAGGGGUUAGGUGCCUUGCUCAAGGGCGCUUCAGCCGUGCCUACUGGUCGGGGUUCGAACCGGCAACCCUCCGAUUACAAGUCCUAAGCGCUAACCAGUAGGCCACGGCUGCCCCACAAGUAUACACUAGUGAGGUAUUCCUACUUUUGUUAGAUGAGUUGACACUAGUGAGGUGUUCCUACUCUGGUCAGGUGUUAGAUGAGAUGACACUAGUGAGGUGUUCCUACUCUGGUCAGGUGAGAUGACACUAGUGAGGUGUUCCUACUCUGGUCAGGUGUUAGAUGACACUAGUGAGGUGUUCCUACUCUGGUCAGGUGAGAUGACACUAGUGAGGUGUUCCUACUCUGGUCAGGUGUGGCUGCUUGUGUUUCUGCCUGCUUCCUCCUCCGCCAUCUUGACGCUGCUUCGCUCCGCUCCACUCUGCCCCAGACCUGCAGAUUCCUGACUUUUUCUGCUGUUUUUGUAAAGAAUGUUUUCCUCUUUUUUUAAUCAAAUAAAGGAAAUGUGAACUCUUGAA